ACCAUCNAGCUAAGGNNUCCCCAAGUACUAACUAAGUGAGAAAGGAGGUGGGAGUGCUUAGACAACCAGGAGGUUUGCCUAGAAGCAGCAAUCCUUGAAAGAGUGCGUAAUAGCUCACUGGUCAAGCGCUCCUGCGCCGAAAAUGAAUGGGGCUAAGUUAGUCACCGAAGCUAUGGACUACAUUGUAGUGGUAGGGGAGCGUUCUAUUAAGGGUGAAGCAUUAGCGGCAAGCAGAUGUGGACGAGAUAGAAGUGAGAAUGUCGGCUUAAGUAGCGAAAAUUAGGGUGAGAAUCCCUAACCCCGAAAGCCCAAGGGUUUCUCCAGAAGGUUCGUCCGUGGAGAGUUAGCCCGGACCUAAGGCGAAGCGAAUAGCGUAGUCGAUGGCAAGCAGGUAAAUAUUCCUGCGUGGCUUAAUUGGAGUUGCUACAGGGACCCGUGAAGACUAAGCACACCCUGAGUGGAUUGGGAGCGAGUAAUCGUGAGUGUGGAAAAAUAGCGGCAAGAAAAGCU
RNAcentral lists this ribosomal RNA (510 nucleotides) under Cyanobacterium sp. STAURODESMUS. RNAcentral's name for it is "bacterial LSU rRNA". It matches the Rfam family "Bacterial large subunit ribosomal RNA", at positions 1029 to 1619 of the family's 2925-position model. The record is from RNAcentral. Lineage: Bacteria; Bacillati; Cyanobacteriota; Cyanophyceae; Chroococcales; Geminocystaceae.